This 2770-nucleotide ribosomal RNA is filed under the name Salmonella enterica subsp. enterica serovar Albany. RNAcentral describes it as "partial 23S ribosomal RNA". It matches the Rfam family "Bacterial large subunit ribosomal RNA". Lineage: Bacteria; Pseudomonadati; Pseudomonadota; Gammaproteobacteria; Enterobacterales; Enterobacteriaceae. The record is from RNAcentral.
CUGCGAUAAGCGCCGGUAAGGUGAUAUGAACCGUUAUAACCGGCGAUACCCGAAUGGGGAAACCCAGUGUGACUCGUCACACUAUCAUUAACUGAAUCCAUAGGUUAAUGAGGCGAACCGGGGGAACUGAAACAUCUAAGUACCCCGAGGAAAAGAAAUCAACCGAGAUUCCCCCAGUAGCGGCGAGCGAACGGGGAGGAGCCCAGAGCCUGAAUCAGCAUGUGUGUUAGUGGAAGCGUCUGGAAAGGCGCGCGAUACAGGGUGACAGCCCCGUACACAAAAGCGCAUGUGCUGUGAGCUCGAUGAGUAGGGCGGGACACGUGGUAUCCUGUCUGAAUAUGGGGGGACCAUCCUCCAAGGCUAAAUACUCCUGACUGACCGAUAGUGAACCAGUACCGUGAGGGAAAGGCGAAAAGAACCCCGGCGAGGGGAGUGAAAAAGAACCUGAAACCGUGUACGUACAAGCAGUGGGAGCACAGGUUUACCUGUGUGACUGCGUACCUUUUGUAUAAUGGGUCAGCGACUUAUAUUCUGUAGCAAGGUUAACCGAAUAGGGGAGCCGGAGGGAAACCGAGUCUUAACCGGGCGUUAAGUUGCAGGGUAUAGACCCGAAACCCGGUGAUCUAGCCAUGGGCAGGUUGAAGGUUGGGUAACACUAACUGGAGGACCGAACCGACUAAUGUUGAAAAAUUAGCGGAUGACCUGUGGCUGGGGGUGAAAGGCCAAUCAAACCGGGAGAUAGCUGGUUCUCCCCGAAAGCUAUUUAGGUAGCGCCUCGUGAAUUCAUCUCCGGGGGUAGAGCACUGUUUCGGCUAGGGGGCCAUCCCGGCUUACCAACCCGAUGCAAACUGCGAAUACCGGAGAAUGUUAUCACGGGAGACACACGGCGGGUGCUAACGUCCGUCGUGAAGAGGGAAACAACCCAGACCGCCAGCUAAGGUCCCAAAGUCAUGGUUAAGUGGGAAACGAUGUGGGAAGGCCCAGACAGCCAGGAUGUUGGCUUAGAAGCAGCCAUCAUUUAAAGAAAGCGUAAUAGCUCACUGGUCGAGUCGGCCUGCGCGGAAGAUGUAACGGGGCUAAACCAUGCACCGAAGCUGCGGCAGCGACGCUUAUGCGUUGUUGGGUAGGGGAGCGUUCUGUAAGCCUGUGAAGGUGGCCUGUGAGGGUUGCUGGAGGUAUCAGAAGUGCGAAUGCUGACAUAAGUAACGAUAAAGCGGGUGAAAAGCCCGCUCGCCGGAAGACCAAGGGUUCCUGUCCAACGUUAAUCGGGGCAGGGUGAGUCGACCCCUAAGGCGAGGCCGAAAGGCGUAGUCGAUGGGAAACGGGUUAAUAUUCCCGUACUUGGUGUUACUGCGAAGGGGGGACGGAGAAGGCUAUGUUGGCCGGGCGACGGUUGUCCCGGUUUAAGCGUGUAGGUGUGUGUUCCAGGUAAAUCCGGUUCACUUUAACACUGAGGCGUGACGACGAGGCACUACGGUGCUGAAGCAACAAAUGCCCUGCUUCCAGGAAAAGCCUCUAAGCAUCAGGUAACAUCAAAUCGUACCCCAAACCGACACAGGUGGUCAGGUAGAGAAUACCAAGGCGCUUGAGAGAACUCGGGUGAAGGAACUAGGCAAAAUGGUGCCGUAACUUCGGGAGAAGGCACGCUGACACGUAGGUGAAGUGAUUUACUCAUGGAGCUGAAGUCAGUCGAAGAUACCAGCUGGCUGCAACUGUUUAUUAAAAACACAGCACUGUGCAAACACGAAAGUGGACGUAUACGGUGUGACGCCUGCCCGGUGCCGGAAGGUUAAUUGAUGGGGUCAGCGCAAGCGAAGCUCCUGAUCGAAGCCCCGGUAAACGGCGGCCGUAACUAUAACGGUCCUAAGGUAGCGAAAUUCCUUGUCGGGUAAGUUCCGACCUGCACGAAUGGCGUAAUGAUGGCCAGGCUGUCUCCACCCGAGACUCAGUGAAAUUGAACUCGCUGUGAAGAUGCAGUGUACCCGCGGCAAGACGGAAAGACCCCGUGAACCUUUACUAUAGCUUGACACUGAACAUUGAGCCUUGAUGUGUAGGAUAGGUGGGAGGCUUUGAAGUGUGGACGCCAGUCUGCAUGGAGCCGACCUUGAAAUACCACCCUUUAAUGUUUGAUGUUCUAACGUGGACCCGUAAUCCGGGUUGCGGACAGUGUCUGGUGGGUAGUUUGACUGGGGCGGUCUCCUCCUAAAGAGUAACGGAGGAGCACGAAGGUUGGCUAAUCCUGGUCGGACAUCAGGAGGUUAGUGCAAUGGCAUAAGCCAGCUUGACUGCGAGCGUGACGGCGCGAGCAGGUGCGAAAGCAGGUCAUAGUGAUCCGGUGGUUCUGAAUGGAAGGGCCAUCGCUCAACGGAUAAAAGGUACUCCGGGGAUAACAGGCUGAUACCGCCCAAGAGUUCAUAUCGACGGCGGUGUUUGGCACCUCGAUGUCGGCUCAUCACAUCCUGGGGCUGAAGUAGGUCCCAAGGGUAUGGCUGUUCGCCAUUUAAAGUGGUACGCGAGCUGGGUUUAGAACGUCGUGAGACAGUUCGGUCCCUAUCUGCCGUGGGCGCUGGAGAACUGAGGGGGGCUGCUCCUAGUACGAGAGGACCGGAGUGGACGCAUCACUGGUGUUCGGGUUGUCAUGCCAAUGGCACUGCCCGGUAGCUAAAUGCGGAAGAGAUAAGUGCUGAAAGCAUCUAAGCACGAAACUUGCCCCGAGAUGAGUUCUCCCUGAGACUUAGAGUCUCCUGAAGGAACGUUGAAGACGACGACG